CUGCAAGAACAGCAGGGACAGCAGUAGAGUCCUCCACAGGGCAAUUCUAGCUCAGGGCAGGAGUCUAACUGUGGUGCUUCACAUCCCAUCCUGGAGGAGACAUCUUCCUUUUUCCUAUUUUGAACAGAUGAGGGUUAUAAGGUGACUGGCCUCGAGUCUUCUACUGUAAGCAGAAACAGACAAUCAAGAGAAGAGAGUGUGAAGACCUACAGUGUACAAGCCCUCCAGACCGCAGGGAGCAGACAGGAGUGGCAGACUGCUUCCCCCCGAGGACUCUGCUCUUCCACCCAACUUGUCUCCUCAGGCGAGGUCUCGGUUUCUCCCCCCACCAAGCUGGUUCAACACUUGCCUGUCUGCCACUGCCGUGACGCUGCCUGCUCAGCCAGGGCGCCGUGCACUGCCGGACGGCUCCUAUUUACUGCUUCCUAGAGAAACCUCUGGCAGACAUCGACGCAGUCGUACCUGAUUGCACAAACCCUGACGCUGGUUCUUUGGAUAAUUUGUAAGGAAAAAUGAGGCCAUAGAGUGGUGUGGAGUGUUUUGCCCAAGGCAAAGGAGUUCUGGGGUAAAGUCAAAGCCAGAAAUCAAAAGGUCCCAGACUCACGCUCAGUGCAUGAAAUCACAUCAGACAACCAGGAAUGCCAUAUGGUAGCUAAUAUCUGUCAGAGAGACUUUCAUAACCUAGAGGUGUUUUGUUUAGCAAUACACUUUCCCCGAUACGCUUUCUCAUGUUCUCCCUGUGUUUUCCAAAGGAGCUUGUGGCUACCUGCUACUGUCUCACAUCUGAGCCUCUUGUUCACCAAUGCUCAUAGGAAUAUCAUAUAUGAACUCCCUCCUUAUACAAACACUAAGAUAUAUUUCGCCCAAAGGGGUUCCAAGGAGUGUUUCACCACUGGCAGCACAUCAUACACUCUUGGCAGCAAUCAGCCCAUCCAUGCUUGCAAACACAGCCAUCUCUGCAGCGAAGCACAGCAGUUAUGGGCUGUCAUAUAAAGCAACGCCGCUUAAAUGUUUACUACUAUAUAGAAACCUAUUGGGAGCAGCAGGAACUUUCAGAGAGAUAGAAAGCAAUUAAUAUGUGGCCUCACAAAAUGUCAACAACACCUUCCUUGUAGAUACCCCACCCAAAGCUGGCUAAAGCCUGGAUUUUAUCACUAGGCUCAAGAUACUUCUUAGAGGAAGAAGAGAAAGCCGGGGGGGGGUUACGCUUCAGUUCCUGGAAUCAAGCGAUUGUGGAAGACUCUCAAUUGUAUUUAAAAAAACAAGUAAAAAGA
Molecule: long non-coding RNA, 1274 nt
Organism: Rhea pennata
Lineage: Eukaryota; Metazoa; Chordata; Aves; Rheiformes; Rheidae
Exons: 3
Source: RefSeq, a predicted model, not a curated record